UACGUAGGGUGCGAGCGUUAUCCGGAAUCAUUGGGCGUAAAGAGCUCGUAGGCGGUUCAGCAAGUCGGCUGUGAAAGUCUGAGGCUCAACCUCAGAAUUGCAGUCGAUACUGCUGUGACUCGAGUCCGGUAGAGGAGAAUGGAAUUCCCGGUGUAGCGGUGAAAUGCGCAGAGAUCGGGAGGAACACCAGUAGCGAAGGCGGUUCUCUGGGCCGGCACUGACGCUGAGGAGCGAAAGAGUGGGGAGCAAACAGG
Molecule: ribosomal RNA, 254 nt
Filed under: uncultured bacterium
Lineage: Bacteria
Description: partial 16S ribosomal RNA
Rfam family: Bacterial small subunit ribosomal RNA
Source: RNAcentral